RNAcentral lists this unclassified non-coding RNA (345 nucleotides) under soil metagenome. Its description in RNAcentral is "partial contains 5.8S ribosomal RNA, internal transcribed spacer 2, and large subunit ribosomal RNA". The stretch from base 1 to 119 matches the Rfam family "5.8S ribosomal RNA", at positions 35 to 154 of the family's 154-position model. The record is from RNAcentral.
GAUGAAGAACGCAGCGAAAUGCGAUACGUAAUGUGAAUUGCAAAUUCAGUGAAUCAUCGAGUCUUUGAGCGCACAUUGCGCCCCCUGGUAUUCCGGGGGGCAUGCCUGUCCGAGCGUCAUUGCUGCCCUCAAGCACGGCUUGUGUGUUGGGCCCCGUCCUCCGAUCCCGGGGGACGGGCCCGAAAGGCAGCGGCGGCACCGCGUCCGGUCCUCGAGCGUAUGGGGCUUUGUCACCCGCUCUGUAGGCCCGGCCGGCGCUUGCCGAUCAACCCAAAUUUUUAUCCAGGUUGACCUCGGAUCAGGUAGGGAUACCCGCUGAACUUAAGCAUAUCAAUAAGCGGAGGA